AUUGAACGCUGGCGGCAUGCCUUACACAUGCAAGUCGAACGGUAACGGGCCUUCGGGUGCUGACGAGUGGCGAACGGGUGAGUAAUACAUCGGAACGUGCCCGAUCGUGGGGGAUAACGAGGCGAAAGCUUUGCUAAUACCGCAUACGAUCUACGGAUGAAAGCAGGGGACCGCAAGGCCUUGCGCGGACGGAGCGGCCGAUGGCAGAUUAGGUAGUUGGUGGGAUAAAAGCUUACCAAGCCGACGAUCUGUAGCUGGUCUGAGAGGAUGAUCAGCCACACUGGGACUGAGACACGGCCCAGACUCCUACGGGAGGCAGCAGUGGGGAAUUUUGGACAAUGGGCGCAAGCCUGAUCCAGCCAUGCCGCGUGCAGGAUGAAGGCCUUCGGGUUGUAAACUGCUUUUGUACGGAACGAAAAGCCUUCUUUUAAUACAGGAGGGUCAUGACGGUACCGUAAGAAUAAGCACCGGCUAACUACGUG
This 482-nucleotide ribosomal RNA is filed under the name uncultured bacterium. RNAcentral describes it as "partial 16S ribosomal RNA". It matches the Rfam family "Bacterial small subunit ribosomal RNA", at positions 30 to 507 of the family's 1533-position model. The record is from RNAcentral.